This 850-nucleotide ribosomal RNA is filed under the name Staphylococcus sp. Its description in RNAcentral is "bacterial SSU rRNA". It matches the Rfam family "Bacterial small subunit ribosomal RNA", at positions 79 to 911 of the family's 1533-position model. Lineage: Bacteria; Bacillati; Bacillota; Bacilli; Caryophanales; Staphylococcaceae. The record is from RNAcentral.
UGCUUCUCUGAUGUUAGCGGCGGACGGGUGAGUAACACGUGGGUAACCUACCUAUAAGACUGGGAUAACUCCGGGAAACCGGGGCUAAUACCGGAUAAUAUUUUGAACCGCAUGGUUCAAUAGUGAAAGACGGUUUCGGCUGUCACUUAUAGAUGGACCCGCGCCGUAUUAGCUAGUUGGUAAGGUAACGGCUUACCAAGGCGACGAUACGUAGCCGACCUGAGAGGGUGAUCGGCCACACUGGAACUGAGACACGGUCCAGACUCCUACGGGAGGCAGCAGUAGGGAAUCUUCCGCAAUGGGCGAAAGCCUGACGGAGCAACGCCGCGUGAGUGAUGAAGGUCUUCGGAUCGUAAAACUCUGUUGUUAGGGAAGAACAAAUUUGUUAGUAACUGAACAAGUCUUGACGGUACCUAACCAGAAAGCCACGGCUAACUACGUGCCAGCAGCCGCGGUAAUACGUAGGUGGCAAGCGUUAUCCGGAAUUAUUGGGCGUAAAGCGCGCGUAGGCGGUUUCUUAAGUCUGAUGUGAAAGCCCACGGCUCAACCGUGGAGGGUCAUUGGAAACUGGGAAACUUGAGUGCAGAAGAGGAGAGUGGAAUUCCAUGUGUAGCGGUGAAAUGCGCAGAGAUAUGGAGGAACACCAGUGGCGAAGGCGGCUCUCUGGUCUGUAACUGACGCUGAUGUGCGAAAGCGUGGGGAUCAAACAGGAUUAGAUACCCUGGUAGUCCACGCCGUAAACGAUGAGUGCUAAGUGUUAGGGGUUUCCGCCCCUUAGUGCUGCAGCUAACGCAUUAAGCACUCCGCCCUGGGGAGUACGACCGCAAGGUUUGAAACCUCAAAGGGAAUU